UCUAAUAGACAAAGAAAGUUCUGAUAAUUAUGCAUUACUUUGCUAUAUAAAACCUGUAUUAAACGCAAUGCGAAAAUUAACCAAAUUUUUUUAAAAUUUAUCAGUUCGACCUGAAAUCCUGUUAAUACUUCAACAACCACACGUUUCGCGUAGAUCUUAUUGCCAAUCGUCGGCAUUUUUCGCUUAGUAUAUCAUUAUUAUUAUUAUAUUUAUUAGUAUAAUUAUGACACUUUUUAAGAAAAUUGCAUUGAAUGCAUCAUCAUUAUUGAAUUUUUGCCGUGUUGCCCUAAUUUAUUUUGUGCACUUAUGCAUAUAUGAGUUUAUUUAUUUAUGUUCUGAUUGAUCCAUACAGUUACAGAUAUUAUAAUCAUUUUCUGACUAUUCGUUAUUACUAGAACAUUAGACUCGCAAACUGCCGCUUCUCAGUGCAUUUAGAAAUCAUUUCACUUCAAUAGAACACUUUCGAAUAUAGGAAUCAUUUGUCUAAGGUGUAAGUAUCAAUUAAACAAACUAAAAGGAUAAAAAACCUGGGGUCACGAAAAGGUAACAGCGACCAACAACAGAUGACACAGCGAAGUCACGUAUACGGGACAGCGGCCGUCAAACAUUUCAAAACAUGUUAAAAAUGAAUCAUAUAUUAAUUGUUCUAGAGCCAACAGUGUUAACAGUUCAGGAACUAAGUAAAGAAAGUGCUAAUUUAAUGACUACAGAAGGAACAAUUCUAUGUUUUCAGUAAACUAAAAUACAUAAAUACUAAACUGCCACUAAAUUUAUUAGAAGUAGUAAAAAGUGAAAUUGAGAAACGGAGAAAUAAAAACAUUUUAUCAUUCUUUGUAUUUUUACAUUGGUGAUUAUAUCUCCAUACAAAUGAAUUUUGAGUUAUUCAUCCAAACAUGUAGUGAAAAAUUGUGCAAAACAGCUAUUUAAAAGAUUGUUCAUUGAGAAAGAAAGAAAUGAAGAUCAAAUUGUUAAUUGUGAAUCAGAAUCAGAGAGUGAAAUAAAAACAGAUGAAAUAAAAGAAUAUGAAAACUUACAAAACAGCAUCAAAAGUUAAAAUGAAUUAAAACAAAUCAAAUGCAGAAGAUUCGAUAUAGACAAAGAGUUUUAAAGUGUUGAAGGAAAGGAAGGAAAGAGAAGUAACAAUAUGGAUAUUUUAUGCAAUGCUUUAUUGACUAUAUAGACCAAUAUCAAUAUCUUGCAAAAGAGUUUUUCUGUUUUAGGAAACACUAUUACAAAAAUUUGCAGCCGAUUGAGUAUUAAGACGUUAUUAAGACACUGGUCUUCCUAAAGAAUCAUUUUACCAAACAAAGUUAAAACCAAGACAUUUAAAAAUUAUGAAGUUAUGGAUGCAUACUACAUCAUAGAAGUUUUUCUUUUUUAGUAACAAAAACUAAAAUUUUAUCAAACUCAAGCUCAAAAAUGCAUACUUUUUUAAAAGGAGGCAAGAGAGCAGGGAAAAUCACCAAUGUCAUUCUCUUCUUCAUUGCAAAAGGCAAUAUGCUUCUAUCAAAAUUUCGGAUGUUAGUGAUACCGGAGUACCUGAAUAAAGAAGUUAGGAGCGAAAGGCCAAAGUUAAUAGCGCAGAUUAGAUGUGGAAACAUAGAGAAAUGGAACAAAUAACGGUAAGACAAUAAUAAGAAAUAAUUUGUAGAAAAAGGAAAGAAUGAAUGGACGAGAUAUUUGUAACAUUGCAAAAAGUAUUAUAAACCAACUCCUUUCUUGGCUUUGAAGCCGAAAUAAAAAAAAUAUAUUAUAUUCAAAUAAAACUGUUCAAAUAAAACAACUGAUCUUUCACCUUAACUGCAGAAACUCAUGUAUGAUUCAUUACAUACAGCAUUAAUUUCUAAAUACAUCGCAUAUAAAAACCUAUAUAUUAACAGCAUUCUUUUUGAGAAUAUGUUAAUGUUUUUUCUGACUUUUAUUAUGAAAGAUGUUUCACACAAAAGGUGAAGUUUGAGAUUGAAAAUUUAUUUAUAAUUAUUAAAUUGCAAAAAAUUGUAAUCAGUAAUUUUAAAAGCAUAUUUUUGUUAAAAGUAUGUUUCUAUGAUUCAUAUUUUGAACCUUAUAGGGAAAAAUGCAAGGCAAUACUUUUUAUUUAUGUGCUUCCUAUCUUUCAUACACUAAAUUUGACAAAAUCACAGUUAAGAUAUUUUUCAAAUUAGUAGUAAUAAUUAAACUAUAAUCUUGAUGUAAUUAUAAGAAUCAUGGAACGAUUUAAGAUUUUAACUGAUAAUUCUUACAUACAGAAGCUAUAUUUUUUGUCCAUGUUGAUGAUGUCCUAAUUGCUUCUUAAGUAGUAUUUGCAUACCUUUCUGAAUCAUCAAAUAACCAAAAAAUUUUACCACUAAUUUACAAAAUAGCAUUUAAUUGUGUUGAUCACUAUUUUAUACAUUCUCAAGCAUAUGCAAAAGUCUCAAGCAACAUUUUUGUCUGUUUUAAAUAUUCUUCUGAUAAAGCAAUGUAAGCGAUAUACACACGCAUUAAAUUUAACAACCUAAGGUUAAAAUAUCUGGUAAACUAAUAACUUUUCGAUACAAAUAGGCUAAUACUUUCGUAUAGGAAAUGACAAGCUGCAUAUAUUAGUGCAUUAAAAAAAUGCAUAAUACCAUUUAAUACGUUGACUCUGCCACGACACCCGUAUUCGGGUGUCAGCAAAGUUGUUUUCUUCAAAUUCUUUUGUGUCUUUGUUCGGUCCAUUCGACGUCUUUUAUUUGCAUAACAUAGUUUGCAUGCGCGUCAAAUGCUUCUUCCAGAAUCAUUUUUCCGAACGAUAUUAUGCUGACUCCGUCAAAGACAAGGAUUUUUUGUAUUUUCAGACAACCCUAAUAAUUUUGCAACUAACAAUUGUCUAAAUAUUCUAAUAUUUAUAUGUUUUCUUGUUGCAAUUUUGUAAACCGUCAAAGCGUUUACAACAGAAAUUCCCAGAAAGCAUUAAAUGCCAAGUUUUCUGUACCAUUUGAUUUUCCUUUUCUAAUUGUGGUGGCAUAAGAAACCAUUUGGUCGGAACAAUUUAUACCACACUUUCCUUCAUUAUAUUCAACAACAGCUAGUGGUUUUAAUAUUGCGAACAAAUGAAACGAAAGAUCAUUCUUGAGACCACCACUUGAGCGAUUCGCAUUACUAAAAUAUCGAUGGGAGCACCUAGCAGAGAACGCUUGGUACUGCUGUACGCGUGGCCUGACGGAGAUUUCUUUGAAAACACGCGUGGCAAUCAACGUGUUAAAAAAUCAAAGUUGUUCUUUAUAGGUCCUUAAUGCGUCCAUCUACAAAAAAUCUAAUAGUACCAGAAUAUGUACUCUUCGAAACCAUUCAACAUCUAUCCAAACAUUUAUCGCUGAAAAUAGUGACAAUCACGUAAAUCGAAGUGGUAAUAUCUGGUGAAUCACCCUGUAUAUUCAGCCUGUAUAUAUCACACCAUCUUGAUCACCGACUAAGAACAACUAGACUUACAGUGGCUCAUGUAACAAUAUUCGAACAAGCCUUAAAAUAGAAUAAUCGCUUUAAAAUUGGUCUGAACGACUUGAAUUUUUCGAAAAGUUCGAAACAUUAGAUUAUUAGAUGACAUGCAAAAAAAUAUUGAAAAUAUUGCAAUUGGCAUAACUGUCUCGUCCUCAACAAACUUAAUCUUCGAAUCAACGAUGUUUAAGUAUUAAUCCAAUAGCACGUAAUUACGUAUCGUGCCUUUUUUGUUCACACUAUCUGCUUUGACUAUGUUUUACUAUGAAAAAAUUGCAUUUCUGAGUCACUACAAACGGCUGUUGAUUCAUGCUUCAUUGCCUUGAAUGCUUUACUCGAAGCUUAUCGGGUUUCUCAUAUCAUCUUAUACUUUAUGAAAAUAUAUGCUAUCUAGUAUAAUUUAUGGGUUGAUCAAUACAACAACAUUUUCAUACCUUUCACUGUUGGAUCUUCCUGAAAAGCAUCAUCACCAACUUCAGCACUGGAUAGUGCUUCUCUCAUCUUUUGGGUUGGUUUUGUUAAAGUAUCACUCCGAAGAUCAACAACUACUACCUGGAAA
Bombus huntii is the source of this 4015-nucleotide long non-coding RNA. RefSeq lists it as uncharacterized. The record is from RefSeq and is a predicted model, not a curated record. The transcript has 4 exons. Lineage: Eukaryota; Metazoa; Arthropoda; Insecta; Hymenoptera; Apidae.